CUGGUCGGUUUCAAGGAUUUACUGUGAUGACGUGUGUCAACGUGCCCGGCACCACGUACUGUACGUAGUUGGAACAGAGCAGACGUUUACUUCCUGCUGUUGACGGUGGGGUCCUGGAGAGCCCCGUGGCAGAUGACAAACAGAAGCUGGACAGGGCCAUCUCUUGUCCUCACCUGUGAGCUGAGUUGAGGACAGCCGCACCCUGCCGUCCACAGUCUCCCCUCUCCUGGGCCUGCCACCAUGCCUGGCGUGCAUGAUUCAUUCACUGAGUCAGCAGAGGCCAGUCAGCUGCCUCCAGUGGCCAGGCACCGGGCUGGGAGCUGGGAGCACAACUCACCAGUGACGUGGGCUCCCGGGCCUCAGAGACUCACCACUGGGUCAGAGGGUAGAGGAAUGAGCCGGUGGCCCACGUGGAAACCUCUGCAGGAGCAGAGCGGGUGUGGGGGUUGCAGCCAAGUGGGGGCGCCUGGAGGACAUGGCUGCCACCUCCGAUGAGCCCGGGGCCAGGCAGGGUGGCGGCAGCAGGACCAAGGCUUGAGCUAACAUGGCCCAGCCGGGAGAUGGCAAGUCCUAAAGACCAGAAGCCCGUGUGGACCAGCCCAGCCUAACCCUGCACUUGAUGCUGGACCUCUGGGUGGGCCCUAGUGUAUGCUCACCUAACCGAUCAGGACAGAGCCUGUUUCCACCACAGGAGUCAUGAAAUCAUCCAGCGCUUGGUGCUCCCUUUGCACAGUUCGUGGGGAGCCUUUGCUCAUGGCAAAUGCUGUGCAGCAUUGCUUUAUUUUUGCAUCCCCCCACUGAAUUACGGCAAACACAGCGGGUAACAUAGCCCUGGGGCUGUUUGAUGGGGCAGGGCAGGGGGCUGGGUCUCUAAAGUCCUUUCCUAGGGAGCAAAUGCUGAGCUUGGGGGUGCCUGCUUCUCUGAGCCAGGUGGGGUGCUCAAGUGAUUCGUUCCUUGGUUCUGAUGACUCCCCCCUGGCUGUUUUACUUGGAUAUUUCUUGAUCCACAUUGUGUUUUGUGCCAAGAGCAGUGAAAGUUUGGGCUGGGAGACAGUGAGCUCCUGCCUUCCUGCUUUACUGUGUGUGAUAACGACCCACCACGUGCCAGGUACCACACUAGGCAGCUUGCCACGCAUCUCUGCGCUCAGUCUUGCCAUCCGCCUGUGUCUUCAGAAGAUGGGACGCCUGGUACUUCUCUACUGCUUGUUCCAUGCCAGGGGGUGUGGAUGUUCUUACCGAUUUUCACAGCGAGGCCAGUAAGGUGCUAUCAUUAGAGUUUUCUUGAUGGAGAAUAUUAGCACGGAGAGGGGAAGAAACUUGCUCAAGGUCACACAGGAAGUAGCAGAGCCAGAAUUUGAGCUCAAGCAAGACCAGCACUCAUAACCGAAGAACCCUGUGCCAAGGCUUCUCGCCCUUUCACAGCGGAGGAGACAGACUCGGGCUCUUGGGACUGUCCCAGAACCAGACCUGUGGCUGACAGAGCGAUGUCCCUGCAGCUACGCCACCCCCGCGGGGCUCACGAUGGAUCAGGAGAAACUAAUCAGCGCCAGCGGUAAAGCCACCUGUGAUGGGCGCUUAGGUCACAUGUGUCCUACCCAGGUACCUGGAUGGAAAUUGGCCUUGAAACACAGGUUCUGCAGGCCUUGGAAGGAAGCGAGGUUGCCGCCUGGUUUCUGUCCCUUGCAGGUCGCAGCAUGUCAACUGUGAUGGUCGGUAGCAUCUGGGGGGGUCUCUGUAAACCUAUCGGCUGGCACCGUGUGAAGAGGAAGCGUGGAUAUGCGUGCAGCAACUGAAUCUCGGCUGUGUCUGAGGUCAGGAUUCUGGGUUGGAGUCACGGGUUCACCAUGAACCGGUGGGGGCAUCCCAUGGUCCCCUUGACCCUUGGUUCUUUUCAUCUCUGACUUGGAGAUCGUAGUAGCACGCUCCUCAUCCAGCCCUGGGGAGGCUUCCGUGAGGUGGAGCGCGCCCAUUUCCUGGCACACACAAGCGUCCAGCCCGGCUUAACUCCUGCCGCCCUUAAUGAUGGCUGUCCUCAUCUGCAUUCCAUUAUAACCCUGUUGCGUGCAUGGUGCCAGGUAGCUGGAGGGUGGACUUCUGCCAGAGGGGCCCCAGAGGCUGGGAGAGUCCAGGGGAGACUCCCUGGUUUGCAGGGCUCAAGAGGGACAGCGAGAGCUACGUGGAUGCAAGGCCCAGGGUUCCAAAGCUGAAGGGACUGGAGGGGGACAGUCAAGCACCCUCAUUUUACAGAUGAGCAAACUGAGGCCCCGAGAGGGAAAGGGACUCCUCCAAGUGCACAGGGCAGGGGAGCUGCCGUGCUCCAUUGCCGAGGGUACAUCCCGAGGAGGCCGGAGGUUCCCACUGCACUUCGGGGGAAGGCUCGUCUCCGCUCGCUCGGUCCCCUGACAGCAGCCUAUGCUCUGCUGCCUCGGACCUCGCCAUCCAGACCUUUUGUCAGAGGCGGGCAGGAGAGACGCCCGGGGCUGGGCCAGUGCGAAGGCACUGCUGCAGGACCAGCCCCUCCCACCGGGGGGGCCCUGGGGGGGCAGCCCUCAGUGACAAGGGGACAGUGGGCAUUGCCACACUCCUGCCAGCUCAGUCCUCUCUCCGCUGUGAUCCGGACACGGGGUCCCCAUGCCGGGAGCCCCGACGGCCAGUGGAAGGAAGAAGCCCUUGGCGUGGACACCGCAGAGCUGGAAGUCUGGUCCGGGCCCACCCAAGACCUUGGAAUAGGUCCUGCAGUGUCAUGUUUCUUUGUGGCAAACGAAGCUUCUCUGGGAUAUUUGCAAACCUAAAGCCGCUUGCUCCCUCAUCUCUUCCUCGGGCCCAUGCCUGGCCUUCCUUGUGCUCUUCCAUCAGUGCUGUUGGCCAAGGAACCUGGGAGGAGUCACACCAGUUGGUGUCCCUGGUAACGGGCCCGCCAACCGUGGACCUGACCGGGACCAGCUCCAGCCCUGCUCGCCUGGGGUCUCCUCAGCCCAGGGACCCCGCAGGAACCAUGGCUGCCCAUCCUCUGGUAACAGGCCUACAGCUGGGACCUCAGCGCAGACCAGGCCACAGCCCUGCACCCCAGCUGCACCCCAGCCCCAUGCUCCAGGCACUAGGCAGGAGAGGCCAGGCCGGGAAGCCUGGAAGGGUAUCUUCUCCUUCAGAUGCGCACACACCGACAGAAGGCCGCAAAGGUCCCAAAGAAUCAGGCCAGCACAGUGCCACCAAAGCACUGAUAAAGCUCCAACAACUGACUUUAAAGGAACGGAGAUUCGUGAACCAUUUGACAGUGAAUCCAGAAUAAUCAUCUUAAAGAAGUGCAGUACUGGAACUCUUUGUGUGGUUGAAAUUGUGCGGUUUGAGUGCAGGGCACAGGGUGAGUUUCUAUGCUGAGCACCGUGCAAACUGUCCAGUGCCGGAGAUGUGUGUGGGGGUGGUGAUCACGUCCAGCUGCAGUUCCUUCCACGCACACAGGGCACCAGACUCGAGGCAGAAAGUUGCAAAGGCCGCGGUGUGCACACUCACCACUCUCUGUUCCGUUCAGUUCAGCCGUGUUUAUUCUGCUCUCAGGAGGAACAAGGGUGAGACUUGCACAAACCGCAGACCUCCCACCAAAUGCCAGGUGUCAGCGAGGGAGGGACUUGAGGGCACCCAGCUCCCAGAAAGACACGGCCUGUUCCCCCCCACAAUUUAAAAAAAAAGCAAGAACAGUCUCUGUCCCUUGGAAACACAUUUGUAAAAAUACAUCAAUAAGAUUAAAAGAUUCAGGACACCUUUAUAUGUAUGCAGCGCAUACACUGAAGAUCAGAACGUCUGCUGGAUCCGAAGAUGUCUGUAAACAUCUGUCCUAGGCUGCGGGGGCCCCACCUCCUUCCAGGUAGCUUCCUGUGGUAACUAAAAAGAUCAGAUGUCAGGGGCGCCUGGGUGG
Molecule: non-coding RNA, 3913 nt
Organism: Leptonychotes weddellii (Weddell seal)
Lineage: Eukaryota; Metazoa; Chordata; Mammalia; Carnivora; Phocidae
Source: RefSeq, a predicted model, not a curated record